RNAcentral lists this ribosomal RNA (440 nucleotides) under uncultured bacterium. Its description in RNAcentral is "partial 16S ribosomal RNA". It matches the Rfam family "Bacterial small subunit ribosomal RNA", at positions 338 to 795 of the family's 1533-position model. The record is from RNAcentral.
CCUACGGGGGGCAGCAGUGGGGAAUAUUGCACAAUGGGGGAAACCCUGAUGCAGCGACGCCGCGUGAGGGAAGAAGUAUCUCGGUACGUAAAGCUCUAUCAAUAGGGAAGAAAAUGACGGUAUCUGACUAAGAAGCCCCGGCUAACUCCGUGCCAGCAGCCGCGGUAAUACGUAGGGGGCAAGCGUUAUCCGGAUUUACUGGGUGUAAAGGGAGCGUAGGCGGCAGCGCAAGUCUGGAGUGAAAUCCCGGGGCUGAACCCCGGAACUGCAUUGGAAACUGUGCGUCUGGAGUGCAGGAGGGGUAAGCGGAAUUCGUGGUGUAGCGGUGAAAUGCGUAGAGAUUAGGAGGAACACCGAUGGCGAAGGCGGCUUACUGGACUGUAACUGACGUUGAGGCUCGAAAGCGUGGGGAGCAAACAGGAUUAGAUACCCCAGUAGUC